This 189-nucleotide unclassified non-coding RNA is filed under the name soil metagenome. RNAcentral describes it as "partial contains 5.8S ribosomal RNA, internal transcribed spacer 2, and large subunit ribosomal RNA". The record is from RNAcentral.
AAGACUAUAGACCUGCGGAGUACCUGCGGAAGGAUCAUUAACAAAUCCAAUAAUUGCUGGAGAACACUUGUUCUUUUUGCAAAUAUUAAUCCGCUGGCCUCUCUUAGAGCGGCUGCUGUGAUAUAAAUGCGUGAUAUGUUGACAGUGUGUGUAUAAGUUAAUAUUGACAACUUUCAACAACGGAUCUCU